This 1434-nucleotide ribosomal RNA is filed under the name uncultured bacterium. RNAcentral describes it as "bacterial SSU rRNA". It matches the Rfam family "Bacterial small subunit ribosomal RNA". The record is from RNAcentral.
AGAGUUUGAUCCUGGCUCAGGAUGAACGCCGGCGGUGUGCCUAAUACAUGCAAGUCGUACGCACUGGCCCAACUGAUUGAUGGUGCUUGCACCUGAUUGACGAUGGAUCACCAGUGAGUGGCGGACGGGUGAGUAACACGUAGGUAACCUGCCUCGGAGCGGGGGAUAACAUUUGGAAACAGAUGCUAAUACCGCAUAACAACAAAAGCCACAUGGCUUUUGUUUGAAAGAUGGCUUUGGCUAUCACUCUGGGAUGGACCUGCGGUGCAUUAGCUAGUUGGUAAGGUAACGGCUUACCAAGGCAAUGAUGCAUAGCCGAGUUGAGAGACUGAUCGGCCACAAUGGAACUGAGACACGGUCCAUACUCCUACGGGAGGCAGCAGUAGGGAAUCUUCCACAAUGGGCGCAAGCCUGAUGGAGCAACACCGCGUGAGUGAAGAAGGGUUUCGGCUCGUAAAGCUCUGUUGUUGGAGAAGAACGUGCGUGAGAGUAACUGUUCACGCAGUGACGGUAUCCAACCAGAAAGUCACGGCUAACUACGUGCCAGCAGCCGCGGUAAUACGUAGGUGGCAAGCGUUAUCCGGAUUUAUUGGGCGUAAAGCGAGCGCAGGCGGUUGCUUAGGUCUGAUGUGAAAGCCUUCGGCUUAACCGAAGAAGUGUAUCGGAAACCGGGCGACUUGAGUGCAGAAGAGGACAGUGGAACUCCAUGUGUAGCGGUGGAAUGCGUAGAUAUAUGGAAGAACACCAGUGGCGAAGGCGGCUGUCUGGUCUGCAACUGACGCUGAGGCUCGAAAGCAUGGGUAGCGAACAGGAUUAGAUACCCUGGUAGUCCAUGCCGUAAACGAUGAGUGCUAGGUGUUGGAGGGUUUCCGCCCUUCAGUGCCGGAGCUAACGCAUUAAGCACUCCGCCUGGGGAGUACGACCGCAAGGUUGAAACUCAAAGGAAUUGACGGGGGCCCGCACAAGCGGUGGAGCAUGUGGUUUAAUUCGAAGCUACGCGAAGAACCUUACCAGGUCUUGACAUCUUGCGCUAACCUUAGAGAUAAGGCGUUCCCUUCGGGGACGCAAUGACAGGUGGUGCAUGGUCGUCGUCAGCUCGUGUCGUGAGAUGUUGGGUUAAGUCCCGCAACGAGCGCAACCCUUGUUACUAGUUGCCAGCAUUAAGUUGGGCACUCUAGUGAGACUGCCGGUGACAAACCGGAGGAAGGUGGGGACGACGUCAGAUCAUCAUGCCCCUUAUGACCUGGGCUACACACGUGCUACAAUGGACGGUACAACGAGUCGCAAGCUCGCGAGAGUAAGCUAAUCUCUUAAAGCCGUUCUCAGUUCGGACUGUAGGCUGCAACUCGCCUACACGAAGUCGGAAUCGCUAGUAAUCGCGGAUCAGCAUGCCGCGGUGAAUACGUUCCCGGGCCUUGCACACACCGCCCGUCA